This 72-nucleotide transfer RNA is filed under the name Laccaria bicolor S238N-H82. RNAcentral's name for it is "tRNA-Cys (ACA) (tRNA-Cys-ACA-1-1)". It matches the Rfam family "tRNA". Rfam says of the family: Transfer RNA (tRNA) molecules are approximately 80 nucleotides in length. Lineage: Eukaryota; Fungi; Basidiomycota; Agaricomycetes; Agaricales; Hydnangiaceae. The record is from RNAcentral.
GGCUGUGUGGCGAAAUGGCAUCGCGUCUGACUACAAAUCAGGAGAUUGCAGGUUCGACCCCUGUCUCGGUCA